UUCACCCCCAUAUGGAUGACCUAAGAGCUGGAAGGACUCAGGGGAUCUACAGCAGGUUGGGUUCUGCCCGCCUCCUUUCCUCAGAGAAAUUCAGGCGAUUUUGGGAAUUCUUAAGGGGAUCGAGUCGUAACAAGGUUUCCGUAGGUGAACCUGCAGAAGGACA
Molecule: unclassified non-coding RNA, 163 nt
Filed under: sea anemone metagenome
Description: partial contains small subunit ribosomal RNA and internal transcribed spacer 1
Source: RNAcentral